AUCAGCAAGUGAUCAGUUCAAUCUUACUUUUUCUGUUGGAAUGUUUUCUUUCAAUCAAAAGGCAUGGGAUUCUUGGACUCACUAAAGACGACCAUGGCAUUAAAUGAGACCCUUGGGAAUAAUCUUACAAGAUCUCUCUAUAAUGAGUCCUCAACCCUUCUGGCCUACGACUACAAUAUCUAUCCCACCUUCUGCCCUGAGGCAGUGGCUGUCGACAAAUACGUUACCCCCUACACAUACGUAAUCGGAUUUCCUGGAAACGUGUUCUCGCUUCUCAUUUGGCUCCAGCGACGCAUGCGGAACUCCUCUGGAUACUACCUUGCUGCUCUGGCCCUUGUGGAUCUUUUGUUUUUGUUACUACAAGUUGUCUAUGAACUGAAUGAAAAGUGGGAAGUAAAAUGUUUGGAUUUACCAUUCGUUUGUGAAUUUUACCCCAUUAUUUUCUUGACCUCCCAAUAUCUCUCUCCAAUUCUUGUUUUGUCUUUUACCGUCGAAAGAUACAUAAGUAUCUGUCACCCUUUUAAACGAGAAACUUGGUGCACAACAAGAAAUGCUAAAUUAGUGAUCAUCGGAACAACUUUAGGUUGUCUGUGCGUUAACAGUAUUCAAGGCUUUUUCUGGUCGUAUGAUUCUGAGAACAAAACUUGUCUUCUACGACAUUCAGUGAUCGAGAACGGGACUGAAUCCUUCUGGGCAAUAUGGACCUGGUGUGUGGAGGCCUUUGUAUUCCUUUUAGUGCCGUUGGCUAUAUUAUUUUUCAAUAUUCUUGUUAUCGUAGAAGCUCGAAGACUUUCAAAGUUCGAACAGACCACUCUCCAUACACGGACGUAUAGAAAUUCAGCAACGACAGUUAUGUUAUUGGCGGUUUCUUUUUACCAAAUAUUUACCACACUUCCUGUGACAAUCGUUGUAACUUUAUACUAUACGUUUCCCCCAGGUGAUAUUAAUGUUUUGCCAACGAUAACCGAUACAUGGAAGGCUCAUUUUCAGUAUUACUGGGCAAAAACCAUAAUUGAAGAAAUAGGUUUGACUCAUUACGCAGGAAACUUUUAUAUUUAUCUAUUAACUGGUAAAGUUUUCAGAAAAGAGUUCAAAAAACUCAUGAGGCCAUUAUUUGGCGGAUUAAAAGAAAAACUUACCAACACUUUAAAAACAGAAUAUUCCAUUGUGCGAACUGGCAGUGUCAAACCGAAAAAGGAAGUGAAAGUUUGCAUAUGCAAUGGGAAUGAGAAUGAGAAUCUUCCUGUCUCAACCGAAAGCGAGCCGAUUCUUAGCUCGCCAGAGACGCACCUGUGAUUUUGUUAAAUUGUUGAAAUAUACACAUAAAUUGUAAAAGUACAUGCAGUCUUUGAUGGUUAUUUAUAUAUUUAACAUGACUCGGACCAGAUGAUAUUUAGGACUUUAAAUGUACUUAAAUUGCUCAUCUCAUGAAAUACCCUAGCAAUUUGAACACAAACAGAAUCCAGAUAUUGAAAUGAAAGUUGAACGAGAAAAUGGAUUUUCUGAUGAAGAAAAAAAAUGAUUGAAUAACAAUUCAUCUCUAUGAAGAAAGAGUGAAAAAGAUGAGAAGUUGAUAAGAAUAACUAAGUGCAGACUUCGGAAAAGGAGUAACAAAAUUGUUGGAGAAAAAUGAAACAAGAAGUUUUGAGAAAAAGUGAACAUACGAAGAGAAAUAUUUGGACUGUAGUCUUUGCAAUAAAAAAAGUGGUUGCACUUUUUCUUUGAAUUUAAGACAGAAAUCAUGUCAGAUGUUUGUGUCAUGUUUUCACACACCUUAAGUCCCAUUUAUUUGAGCCUUGUAGAACAAACGUUUUGCCAAGUAUAUGUAUUUACCAGACACCAAGUUUGUUUAAUCUUUGUGUCACAUAACUGUUAUUCAUGCAUAUACUGUAAACAGGGUUAUUUUCGCCCCGUGUUAUUUUCAACCUGUCACACUUGCAAACUAUUUAACCCCGUUUUAAAUUCUCCCAGACACAGCUGUAUUUAAGAGAUUAUACUGUAUUCUUUGAAUUCGUCCACGUUUAAAAAAUUCGCCCACCUGCAACGAGGUUGAAUGCGGCAAAAAUAAAACGAGCGAAUAUUUCCCUGUAUACAGUAACUGUGCCUUUUAAUAUACGUUUAGUGAAACGUGAUAUCUAUUAUCAGUUGUAGGAUGAUCAAUAAAAACAAUUUGUUAUGUUUGCAGAAUAUGUCCCAUUAUAUGAAUCAGCAGAUUAAGUAUUUCUCUCUCUCCCUCUCUCUUUGUGUGUGUAUGUAUGUGUUAUAGUAACGGUUAGAUUUAUGAUAUUUUGUACGAUAUAUUUCUUUGGGUUAGAGGGAGAUUUUGUUAUUUAAGAAAGCUUUCUUUCUAAUCAUCCUACAAAUACAUUUUCUGUCAGGACUAAAGUCUUAAAUAUUAGAAACAAACAUUGUAAUUGGGUUGUUUAA
RNA transcript from Saccostrea echinata, 2427 nucleotides. It is a transcript of the gene named probable G-protein coupled receptor 139, with no coding region annotated. The record is from RefSeq and is a predicted model, not a curated record. The transcript is spliced from 4 exons. Lineage: Eukaryota; Metazoa; Mollusca; Bivalvia; Ostreida; Ostreidae.